UGGAUCGAGAUACAGUUGGCCCGUUACCGCACCCAGGUGGCUCUCAGUGGGACUCAUCAACGAUGCCGUAUGCCAACACUUACCUUCCACAAUCAGUCGCAGGUUACACACCUUUGCCAUUUAAUUAUACGAGUAGUGAUCCAACGUACGCCUACGCUUGUGAAGAAAGUAUUCACAGCGGAUCAGGAAGUAGCAAUGGUUCAGAGCGAUCCCGUAUUCUCCAAUCAAAUACAGGAGUGAUGAACCCUCCACCUUUACCACAAACACUGAAAGGGCGAGGUGGAAGCUCUGGUGGAAGUGAGUCAGGAGUUGAAAAAACUGGUGAUCACAGGUCACGGUCGAGUGGGUCUGACUCGAGGUCUUCAGCAGUAACAGCCACAGCAACAAACCCUGAUGACCUCUCUGCCUCAAGGCAGUCGUUUCGAAUGGCCAUGGGAAAUCCUUUUGAGUAUGAUCUAUUGGAGCAGAACUUAUAG
Molecule: long non-coding RNA, 476 nt
Filed under: Bemisia tabaci
Lineage: Eukaryota; Metazoa; Arthropoda; Insecta; Hemiptera; Aleyrodidae
Description: lncRNA ENSSSA3NGG003645
Source: RNAcentral